This 60-nucleotide transfer RNA is filed under the name Dixonius vietnamensis. Its description in RNAcentral is "tRNA-Cys". Lineage: Eukaryota; Metazoa; Chordata; Lepidosauria; Squamata; Gekkonidae. The record is from RNAcentral.
GGCCCUCGGGAAAGAGCAAAGUGCAAAUUGGCUACAGCACCCUAAAAGGUGCCGGGGCUC